GAUGAACGCUGGCGGCGUGCUUAACACAUGCAAGUCGAACGAUGAAGCCCAGCUUGCUGGGUGGAUUAGUGGCGAACGGGUGAGUAACACGUGAGUAACCUGCCCUUAACUCUGGGAUAAGCCUGGGAAACUGGGUCUAAUACCGGAUAGGAGCGUCCACCGCAUGGUGGGUGUUGGAAAGAUUUAUCGGUUUUGGAUGGACUCGCGGCCUAUCAGCUUGUUGGUGAGGUAAUGGCUCACCAAGGCGACGACGGGUAGCCGGCCUGAGAGGGUGACCGGCCACACUGGGACUGAGACACGGCCCAGACUCCUACGGGAGGCAGCAGUGGGGAAUAUUGCACAAUGGGCGCAAGCCUGAUGCAGCGACGCCGCAUGAGGGAUGACGGCCUUCGGGUUGUAAACCUCUUUCAGUAGGGAAGAAGCGAAAGUGACGGUACCUGCAGAAGAAGCACCGGCUAACUACGUG
This 466-nucleotide ribosomal RNA is filed under the name uncultured bacterium. Its description in RNAcentral is "partial 16S ribosomal RNA". It matches the Rfam family "Bacterial small subunit ribosomal RNA", at positions 28 to 507 of the family's 1533-position model. The record is from RNAcentral.